GCUGGAGUACGGUAGGGGCAGAUGGCAUUUCCGGUUACGCGGUGAAAUGCGUAGAGAUCGGAAAGAACACCAACGUUCCCCGUGACACUGAGAGACGAAAGCUAGGGGAGUAGUCCUAGCCGUAAACGAUGGAUACUAGGCGCUGUGCGUAUCGACCCGUGCAGUGCUGUAGCUAACGCGUGAAGUAUCCCGCCUGGGUGGGCUGGGGAGUACGUUCGCAAGAAGGAAACUAAAAGGAAUGGACGGGGGCCUGUUUUCUUUGGUUUCAUUCGAUGCAAAGCGAAGAACCUUACCACUCUUUCAAGAGAGGGGUGCCUUCGGGAACGCUACCACAGGUGGUGCAUGGCUGUCGUCAGCUCGUGCCGUCCUUUUUUGGGUUAAGUCCCGCCCGCAACGAG
RNAcentral lists this ribosomal RNA (398 nucleotides) under Rafflesia hasseltii. Its description in RNAcentral is "bacterial SSU rRNA". It matches the Rfam family "Bacterial small subunit ribosomal RNA", at positions 640 to 1096 of the family's 1533-position model. Lineage: Eukaryota; Viridiplantae; Streptophyta; Magnoliopsida; Malpighiales; Rafflesiaceae. RNAcentral also lists the same sequence under 1 other name. The record is from RNAcentral.